AUAUCAAUAAGCGGAGGAAAAGAAACCAACAGGGAUUGCCCUAGUAACGGCGAGUGAAGCGGCAACAGCUCAAAUUUGAAAUCUGGCCUUCGGCCCGAGUUGUAAUUUGUAGAGGAUGCUUUUGGCGCGGUGCCUUCUGAGUUCCCUGGAACGGGACGCCAGAGAGGGUGAGAGCCCCGUACAGUCGGACACCUAGCCUUUGUAAAGCUCCUUCGACGAGUCGAGUAGUUUGGGAAUGCUGCUCAAAAUGGGAGGUAAAUUUCUUCUAAAGCUAAAUACCGGCCAGAGACCGAUAGCGCACAAGUAGAGUGAUCGAAAGAUGAAAAGCACUUUGAAAAGAGGGUUAAACAGUACGUGAAAUUGUUGAAAGGGAAGCGCUCGUGACCAGACUUGCGCUCGGUGGAUCAUCUAGCGUUCUCGCUGGUGCACUCCGCCGUGCUCAGGCCAGCAUCGGUUUCCCCGGGGGGAUAAAAGCUUCGGGAACGUGGCUCCUUCGGGAGUGUUAUAGCCCGCUGCACAAUGCCUUCGGGGGGACCGAGGUUCGCGCUCCGCAAGGAUGCUGGCGUAAUGGUUACCGGCGACCCGUCUUGAAACACGGACCAAGGAGUCAAGCAUUAGGGCGAGUGUUUGGGUGUAAAACCCGCACGCGUAAUGAAAGUGAACGUAGGUGAGAGCUUCGGCGCAUCAUCGACCGAUCCUGAUGUUCUCGGAUGGAUUUGAGUAAGAGCCUUACCGCUUGGACCCGAAAGAUGGUGAACUAUGCCUGUAUAGGGUGAAGCCAGAGGAAACUCUGGUGGAGGCUCGCAGCGGUUCUGACGUGCAAAUCGAUCGUCAAAUAUGGGCAUGGGGGCGAAAGACUAAUCGAACCAUCUAGUAGCUGGUUACCGCCGAAGUUUCCCUCAGGAUAGCAGUGUUGUUUUCAGUUUUAUGAGGUAAAGCGAAUGAUUAGGGACUCGGGGGCGCUAUUUAGCCUUCAUCCAUUCUCAAACUUUAAAUAUGUAAGAAGCCCUUGUUACUUCAUUGAACGUGGGCCUUCGAAUGUAUCAACACUAGUGGGCCAUUUUUGGUAAGCAGAACUGGCGAUGCGGGAUGAACCGAACGCGGGGUUAAGGUGCCAGAGUGGACGCUCAUCAGACACCACAAAAGGCGUUAAUACAUCCUGACAGCAGGACGGUGGCCAUGGAAGUCGGAAUCCGCUAAGGACUGUGUAACAACUCACCUGCCGAAUGUA
This 1231-nucleotide ribosomal RNA is filed under the name Brachysporium nigrum. Its description in RNAcentral is "eukaryotic LSU rRNA". It matches the Rfam family "Eukaryotic large subunit ribosomal RNA", at positions 40 to 1305 of the family's 3401-position model. The record is from RNAcentral. Lineage: Eukaryota; Fungi; Ascomycota; Sordariomycetes.